Molecule: long non-coding RNA, 229 nt
Filed under: Elaeis guineensis (African oil palm)
Lineage: Eukaryota; Viridiplantae; Streptophyta; Magnoliopsida; Arecales; Arecaceae
Description: long non-coding RNA (EGUI_LNC080662)
Source: RNAcentral
CUCUAGAUCCUCUCUUGCUUUGGAGUAUCCAAGUUGCUUGAAGAAUAAGGAAGAAACUAGCUGUCAAAGUUGCUUGCAGGCUAGCACCUCCAAGUCCUUGAUCUGCACCUGUCUUCGUGUGAAUUUUUCUGUAGAGACUAGAUGACUUUGAGUGACUAUGAGUGAUCUGAGGAAUACCCUCUCUAAUUACUAGAUUAGAGAAGAUCAAAAUCCAAUUGGUUUGAUAAUC